AGUAAAGUCAGCUAAUU
Molecule: transfer RNA, 17 nt
Filed under: Plestiodon chinensis
Lineage: Eukaryota; Metazoa; Chordata; Lepidosauria; Squamata; Scincidae
Also listed under: 9 other names
Description: partial tRNA-Met
Source: RNAcentral